This 324-nucleotide ribosomal RNA is filed under the name uncultured eukaryote. RNAcentral describes it as "partial 18S ribosomal RNA". It matches the Rfam family "Eukaryotic small subunit ribosomal RNA", at positions 1470 to 1796 of the family's 1831-position model. The record is from RNAcentral.
CCCUUAGAUGUUCUGGGCUGCACGCGCGCUACACUGAUGCAUGCAACGAGUUUCUUCCUGGUCCGAGAGGAAUGGGUAACCUUUUGAAAGUGCAUCGUGAUAGGGAUAGACUAUUGCAAUUAUUGGUCUUCAACGAGGAAUUCCUAGUAGACGUAGUUCAUCAGACUGCAUCGAUUACGUCCCUGCCCUUUGUACACACCGCCCGUCGCUCCUACCGAUUGAAUGCUCAGGUGAGCCAUUCGGACUUUCAUCAUGCUGGUUUCCAGUUUUGAUGAAGGAAAGUCUUGCGAACCUUAUCAUUUAGAGGAAGGAGAAGUCGUAACA